UACGGAGGGUGCGAGCGUUAAUCGGAAUUACUGGGCGUAAAGCGCACGUAGGCUGCGUUGUAAGUCAGGGGUGAAAUCCCGCGGCUCAACCGCGGAACUGCCCUUGAUACUGCAGUGCUUGAAUCCGGGAGAGGGUGGCGGAAUUCCAGGUGUAGGAGUGAAAUCCGUAGAUAUCUGGAGGAACAUCAGUGGCGAAGGCGGCCGCCUGGACCGGUAUUGACGCUGAGGUGCGAAAGCGUGGGGAG
This 245-nucleotide ribosomal RNA is filed under the name uncultured Desulfovibrio sp. Its description in RNAcentral is "partial 16S ribosomal RNA". It matches the Rfam family "Bacterial small subunit ribosomal RNA", at positions 524 to 768 of the family's 1533-position model. Lineage: Bacteria; Pseudomonadati; Thermodesulfobacteriota; Desulfovibrionia; Desulfovibrionales; Desulfovibrionaceae. The record is from RNAcentral.